This 68-nucleotide transfer RNA is filed under the name Malaccina discoidalis. RNAcentral's name for it is "tRNA-Tyr". The record is from RNAcentral. Lineage: Eukaryota; Metazoa; Arthropoda; Insecta; Blattodea; Blattellidae.
AGUAGGAUGGCUGAAGGAUUUAGGUAAUAAAUUGUAAAUUUAUUGAUGAGUUAAUUACUCUUCUACUA